CCUACGGGAGGCAGCAGUGGGGAAUAUUGGACAAUGGGGGCAACCCUGAUCCAGCCAUGCCGCGUGUGUGAAGAAGGCCCUCGGGUUGUAAAGCACUUUCAGUGAGGAAGAACGCCUGGUGGUUAAUACCCAUCAGGAAAGACAUCACUCACAGAAGAAGCACCGGCUAACUCCGUGCCAGCAGCCGCGGUAAUACGGAGGGUGCGAGCGUUAAUCGGAAUUACUGGGCAUAAAGCGCGCGUAGGUGGCUUGAUAAGCCGGUUGUGAAAGCCCCGGGCUCAACCUGGGAACGGCAUCCGGAACUGUCAAGCUAGAGUGCAGGAGAGGAAGGUAGAAUUCCCGGUGUAGCGGUGAAAUGCGUAGAGAUCGGGAGGAAUACCAGUGGCGAAGGCGGCCUUCUGGACUGACACUGACACUGAGGUGCGAAAGCGUGGGUAGCAAACAGGAUUAGAUACCCCAGUAGUC
Molecule: ribosomal RNA, 465 nt
Filed under: Vreelandella stevensii
Lineage: Bacteria; Pseudomonadati; Pseudomonadota; Gammaproteobacteria; Oceanospirillales; Halomonadaceae
Description: partial 16S ribosomal RNA
Rfam family: Bacterial small subunit ribosomal RNA
Source: RNAcentral